GAGAGAGAGAGAGAGAGAGAAAUAGAAAAAGAAAGAGAAGAAACGAAGAUCGUGAUUCGAUACGGAUUUAGAGGUACGUAUCGAUACAUACAUGAACGUAUGCACGAGUAUGUACGAUGUACGUAUAUAUGUAUGUUUAUACGUACAUAUACAUGUCGCAAGAAAGGACGACGUGCGUGGACCGACCGUAGGGAUCGUUCGGAACGCGAAUGCAUGUAAGUAAGUAGAGAUGGUAUCGCUUUCAUCUCGCAGCUCGAUCUCCGCUCGUUUACAAGAGAAUGUAGACUCUUGAUUCCAGAGGUGAGAGAGAUCGAAACGCGAAUCAACAACGGAGGAGAUACACGCGGCGAUGAAAACGGAAAACGAAGUGGUUACGGGUUGGGGAAUGCAUGCUCGACCGGCACGUGCCCACGUGUAUUUAUAUGCGGAAUGACAAACUACUGGAGUAGAGAAUUAACAAGUGGAUUCUACUAUGAUAAGAGAAAAACGUAACUUUGUUAUCUGGUAUC
Molecule: long non-coding RNA, 509 nt
Organism: Vespula pensylvanica (western yellowjacket)
Lineage: Eukaryota; Metazoa; Arthropoda; Insecta; Hymenoptera; Vespidae
Exons: 2
Source: RefSeq, a predicted model, not a curated record